AGUGAACGCUGGCGGUAGGCCUAACACAUGCAAGUCGAACGGCAGCACAGGAGAGCUUGCUCUCUGGGUGGCGAGUGGCGGACGGGUGAGGAAUACAUCGGAAUCUACUCUGUCGUGGGGGAUAACGUAGGGAAACUUACGCUAAUACCGCAUACGACCUACGGGUGAAAGCAGGGGAUCUUCGGACCUUGCGCGAUUGAAUGAGCCGAUGUCGGAUUAGCUAGUUGGCGGGGUAAAGGCCCACCAAGGCGACGAUCCGUAGCUGGUCUGAGAGGAUGAUCAGCCACACUGGAACUGAGACACGGUCCAGACUCCUACGGGAGGCAGCAGUGGGGAAUAUUGGACAAUGGGCGCAAGCCUGAUCCAGCCAUACCGCGUGGGUGAAGAAGGCCCUCGGGUUGUAAAGCCCUUUUGUUGGGAAAGAAAUCCAGCUGGCUAAUACCCGGUGGGGAUGACGGUACCCAAAGAAUAAGCACCGGCUAACUUCGUGCCAGCAGCCGCCGCGG
This 506-nucleotide ribosomal RNA is filed under the name uncultured bacterium. RNAcentral's name for it is "partial 16S ribosomal RNA". It matches the Rfam family "Bacterial small subunit ribosomal RNA", at positions 29 to 523 of the family's 1533-position model. The record is from RNAcentral.